This is a long non-coding RNA of Fundulus heteroclitus (mummichog), 976 nucleotides long. RefSeq lists it as uncharacterized. The record is from RefSeq and is a predicted model, not a curated record. The transcript has 4 exons. NCBI's taxonomy places the organism in Eukaryota, Metazoa, Chordata, Actinopteri, Cyprinodontiformes, Fundulidae.
CCUCGUUUUUAAAUGCUUUCUUUCUCUCUCUCUUUCCCUCGCUCGUUCUAAGCAGUGUGGCAUCAGCUCUUGUAUCCACUCUCACUUGUGGGUAGCGAUGUAACCUGUUGCAGAUUCCCUCCCUGAUGCCCUCUUGACAGCGACGUUCUCCAUCAAUUCCCAGCAGUGAAGACAUUCCAUAAUGUCCUGUCUUUGGGUGCAUUUGAGUCUGCUCUACCUCCUACAACACAGUGUUGCAUCAGAUCAAGUAGUGUCACUGGACUGCCCAGAGAAAGUGGAAGUCGAAAAGGGAGCCAACGUGACAAUAAACUGUACAAUUAAAUUAAAUUCUUCCAGGACCUGUACAAUUACAGCCUGCCACUGUUAUUAUCCAGAUAGUAACAUUGAAUGUGGUAAUGCCUCAGGAAAGUACAACUGUGACUGGAAUAAUAACUCCCACGUGUUACUGACCAUCGUUAAUGCUUCCAAAGACGAAAAUGUCAAAGUUUACGUUGUGACAGACCUUGGUGAGGACCUUUCUCCUCCUAUAAGAGUGGAUGCCUCUGAAAGUCAGACAGGCGAAUCUGGUGGUGAUGAGCCGGGCAACCCAACACAUCUGAUUUCAAGCAUACUGGGUGUUUUUGCUACCAUCAUUGUUGUGGCAAUUUUGGUGUUUCUUAUUAAACAGUGCAUUGAAGUGUCCAAAAAGCAAUCUACACCAAAGAGUGAGCCAACAGCAGAACGUCAACUUCUAUAAGAAAUGCAAGAAGGUUACUACUACAGUAGUAGUCCCUUGUCCACUUACCUGAAACCUGGACUAUCAGCCACCUGUGAUUAAGCUGCUGCUGGUGGUAGCUUUGUGUACAUUUAAAUGAUCUGUAUGUUCAAGCUUUUUAUCCAUAGAGUGAGUUAUCUUGGUGCUAUGAUCAAUUCUAACAAAGGUACAUACUGUGUAAAUACUGCAUUUUUUUGUAAAUAAAAGAUAUUUCUUAACAUA